AUGAUUUCUCAUUUAAACGUAUUUUGUUCAGUUUGACCAAAAGCAAAAACAACUACCAAGAAAAAAACUUAACAGAAAUAAUUUUGCUUAAAUAAUUUUUUUACUUUAAGUCAGAUAGUUUAAUGUCACGUGACCUCGUGACGUCGGGACAAGUACCUUCUCCUUGAGUUUUUCUGUCAGCCAUUUUACUUCGCGCCGACUGCCAAGUUCAUCUGACCCACAGGACAACUGGUUUAAUUAAGGUUUGAUCUUGAGCUCUUUUGCUGAAAAUUUACAUCCAUCUCUUCUAAAUUUGAUCAAUCAUGAAUUCCUGAGAAUUACAACUGUUCCACUUCAACCACAGUUCCUGGCUUGGACAAGCACCACAGCAAGCUGAUUGAGCUAUUCAGAAAGAAGGGAGGAGAGAGAAGACACACCGACAAACGUCCUGAAAGUUCUGGAUCAGAGCCUCGAGGUGAGCCUGAAAAGAGAAUGUCUGCUAAAGUGCCUCAUCGAUUACCUGGGGGAAGACGUGGACAGUCUUAUCAAGGAAUACUUGGUUUCUCAGAAGAAGGAAGCUGAGACGGAGCUGAAGGAAUCUACAGUAGCAGUGUUUGUCAUCAGGGAGGAUGAAGACCCUCUCCAAUCGCCACAUGAAAUUGGGAUUGUACUUGAAGGUGUGGAUGUUCAUGAGUUGCCAUCAGUAGCACAUUCAUUUACAAUGCUGUUUGGCCUCAUCACUGCUGUGAACUAUCCUGACACGCAAAGUGUGCAGUCUUAGUGUGCAGCUUUAAAUAUUCUCUCUCACUCGCUCUGUCUUGCUCUCUCUAUGUUCAAAAGGUGUACAGUAUUUUUGCACUUCUAAAUGUUUGAAUACUGAAGAAGAAAUGUAUAAACCAUUUUUGUUAAACCAACUUGUUAAACAGU
Molecule: long non-coding RNA, 906 nt
Organism: Astyanax mexicanus (Mexican tetra)
Lineage: Eukaryota; Metazoa; Chordata; Actinopteri; Characiformes; Acestrorhamphidae
Exons: 5
Source: RefSeq, a predicted model, not a curated record